UGGAUCCAGACUUUGAUCAUGGCUCAGGAUAAACACUGGCGGCGCACAUAAGACAUGCAAGUCGAACGAACUUAAUUCGAAUGUUUACAUUUGGAAGCGGUUAGUGGCGGACUGGUGAGUAACACGUAAGCAACCUGCCUAUCAGAGGGGAAUAACAGUGAGAAAUCAUUGCUAAUACCGCAUAUGCUGUGAGUAUCGCACGAUACAAACAGGAAAGGAGCAAUCCGCUGAUAGAUGGGCUUGCGUCUGAUUAGAUAGUUGGUGGGGUAAUGGCCUACCAAGUCGACGAUCAGUAGCCGGACUGAGAGGUUGAACGGCCACAUUGGGACUGAGAUACGGCCCAGACUCCUACGGGAGGCAGCAGUCGGGAAUAUUGCACAAUGGAGGAAACUCUGAUGCAGUGACGCCGCGUGCAGGAAGAAGGUUUUCGGAUUGUAAACUGCUUUAGAUAGGGAAGAUAAAAGACUGUACCUAUAGAAUAAGCUCCGGCUAACUACGUGCCAGCAGCCGCGGUAAUACGUAGGGAGCAAGCGUUAUCCGGAUUUAUUGGGUGUAAAGGGUGCGUAGACGGGAAUUUAAGUUAGUUGUGAAAUCCCUCGGCUUAACUGAGGAACUGCAACUAAAACUGAAUUUCUUGAGUGCGGGAGAGGAAAGUGGAAUUCCUAGUGUAGCGGUGAAAUGCGUAGAUAUUAGGAGGAACACCAGUGGCGAAGGCGACUUUCUGGACCGUAACUGACGUUGAGGCACGAAAGUGUGGGGAGCAAACAGGAUUAGAUACCCUGGUAGUCCACACUGUAAACGAUGGAUACUAGGUGUAGGUAAUAUUAAGUUAUCUGUGCCGUCGCAAACGCAAUAAGUAUCCCACCUGGGGAGUACGACCGCAAGGUUGCAACUCAAAUGAAUUGACGGA
Molecule: ribosomal RNA, 910 nt
Filed under: uncultured Bacillota bacterium
Lineage: Bacteria; Bacillati; Bacillota
Description: bacterial SSU rRNA
Rfam family: Bacterial small subunit ribosomal RNA
Source: RNAcentral